This is a non-coding RNA of Ilex paraguariensis (yerba mate), 74 nucleotides long. NCBI's taxonomy places the organism in Eukaryota, Viridiplantae, Streptophyta, Magnoliopsida, Aquifoliales, Aquifoliaceae. The record is from the annotation of a GenBank genome assembly.
GGGCAUGUAGCUCAGGUUAUUGGAGCACGUGGCUAUGAACAAUGAUGUCGGGGGUUCGAAUUCCUCCUCGUUCA